AUACGUAGGUGGCAAGCGUUGUCCGGAAUUACUGGGUGUAAAGGGCGUGUAGGCGGGGCUGCAAGUCAGAUGUGAAAUUCCGGGGCUCAACCCCGGCACCGCAUCUGAAACUGUGUAUCUUGAGUGCUGGAGAGGAAAGCGGAAUUCCUAGAGUAGCGGGGAAAUGCGUAGAUAUUAGGAGGAACACCAGUGGCGAAGGCGUCUUUCUGGACAGUAACGGACGCAGAGGCGCUAAAGCGUGGGUAGCGAACAGGAUUAGAUACCCUGGUAGUCCACGCCGUAAACGAUGGAUACUAGGUGUAGGAGGUAUCGACCCCUUCUGUGCCGGAGUUAACACAAUAAGUAGCCCACCUGGGGAGUACGGCCGCAAGGUUGAAACUCAAAGGAAUUGACGGGG
RNAcentral lists this ribosomal RNA (397 nucleotides) under uncultured bacterium. Its description in RNAcentral is "partial 16S ribosomal RNA". It matches the Rfam family "Bacterial small subunit ribosomal RNA", at positions 523 to 918 of the family's 1533-position model. The record is from RNAcentral.